Unclassified non-coding RNA from Macaca mulatta (Rhesus monkey), 148 nucleotides. It matches the Rfam family "Metazoan signal recognition particle RNA". From Rfam's summary of the family: The signal recognition particle (SRP) is a universally conserved ribonucleoprotein. Lineage: Eukaryota; Metazoa; Chordata; Mammalia; Primates; Cercopithecidae. The record is from Ensembl.
GCUGGGAGUCGGGGUGGGCACCUGUAGUCCCAGCUACCAGGGAGGCUGAGGUGGGAGAAUCACUGGAGCCCAGGAGGUGGAAGUGGCAGUGAGCCAAGACUGUGCCACUGCACUUCAGCCUGGGUGACAGAGUGAGACCCCAUCUCAA